UUAAGUGACGAUAGCCUAGGAGAUACACCUGUACCCAUGCCGAACACAGAAGUUAAGCCCUAGAACGCCGGAAGUAGUUGGGGGUUGUCCCCUGUGAGAUAUGGAAGUCGCUUAGC
Molecule: ribosomal RNA, 116 nt
Filed under: Streptococcus sp. NM
Lineage: Bacteria; Bacillati; Bacillota; Bacilli; Lactobacillales; Streptococcaceae
Source: RNAcentral